Molecule: ribosomal RNA, 1556 nt
Filed under: marine metagenome
Description: bacterial LSU rRNA
Rfam family: Bacterial large subunit ribosomal RNA
Source: RNAcentral
GCUGACAUGAGUAACGAUAAUGGGGGUGAAAAACCCCCACGCCGGAAGACCAAGGUUUCCUGUCCCAUGCUAAUCAGGGCAGGGUAAGUCGGCCCCUAAGGCGAGGCAGAAAUGCGUAGUCGAUGGGAAACGGAUUAAUAUUUCCGUACUUAUAUAAUCAGUGAUGGAGGGACGGAGAAGGCUAGGCAAGCUUGGCGUUGGUUGUCCAAGUGAAAGCGAGUAGGCCGAGAAUUUAGGUAAAUCCGGAUUCUUAAAGCUGAGACGCGAGACGAGCUCCCAAGGGAGUGAAGUUGUUGAUGCCCUGCUUCCAGGAAAAGCUUCUAAACUUAUGAUUAUAUGAACCGUACCCCAAACCGACACAGGUGGUCAGGUAGAGAAUACUAAGGCGCUUGAGAGAACUCGGGUGAAGGAACUCGGCAAAAUUGUACCGUAACUUCGGGAGAAGGUACGCCCUUGUUUGUGAUGGGAUUUACUCCUUAAGCAGAUGAGGGCCGCAGUGACCAGGUGGCUGGGACUGUUUAUUAAAAACACAGCACUGUGCAAAAUCGCAAGAUGACGUAUACGGUGUGACACCUGCCCGGUGCCGGAAGGUUAAUUGAUGGGGUUAGCGUAAGCGAAGCUCUUGAUCGAAGCCCCGGUAAACGGCGGCCGUAACUAUAACGGUCCUAAGGUAGCGAAAUUCCUUGUCGGGUAAGUUCCGACCUGCACGAAUGGUGUAACCAUGGCCACGCUGUCUCCACCCGAGACUCAGUGAAAUUGAAAUCGCAGUGAAGAUGCUGUGUACCCGCGGCUAGACGGAAAGACCCCGUGAACCUUUACUACAGCUUGGCACUGAACAUUGAACCUACAUGUGUAGGAUAGGUGGGAGGCUUUGAAGCACAGUCGCUAGAUUGUGUGGAGCCGUCCUUGAAAUACCACCCUUGUAUGUUUGAUGUUCUAACAUUGGUCCCUUAUCGGGAUUGUGGACAGUGUCUGGUGGGUAGUUUGACUGGGGCGGUCUCCUCCCAAAUCGUAACGGAGGAGCACGAAGGUUGGCUAAUCCUGGUCGGACAUCAGGAGGUUAGUGCAAUGGCAUAAGCCAGCUUAACUGCGAGACAGACACGUCGAGCAGGUACGAAAGUAGGUCAUAGUGAUCCGGUGGUUCUGAAUGGAAGGGCCAUCGCUCAACGGAUAAAAGGUACUCCGGGGAUAACAGGCUGAUACCGCCCAAGAGUUCAUAUCGACGGCGGUGUUUGGCACCUCGAUGUCGGCUCAUCACAUCCUGGGGCUGAAGUCGGUCCCAAGGGUAUGGCUGUUCGCCAUUUAAAGUGGUACGCGAGCUGGGUUUAGAACGUCGUGAGACAGUUCGGUCCCUAUCUGGUGUGGGCGUUGGAUGAUUGAUGGGAGCUGCUCCUAGUACGAGAGGACCGGAGUGGACGAACCGCUGGUGUUCGGGUUGUCAUGCCAAUGGCAUUGCCCGGUAGCUAUGUUCGGAACGGAUAACCGCUGAAAGCAUCUAAGCGGGAAGCCGGCCCAAAGAUGAGUCAUCCCUGAACUUUAAGUUCUGGAAGGGUUGU